AUCGUGGGAAAACUGGAUGAUUGGAUUGGGAUAUGAUCCAGAGGGCUUCAGCAUUGUCAAAUGCUAUGAUGACGAAUACAAUGGAAAUUCAGACCUUGGUGAUCUCUUUAUUGUGGAAUGUACAAGUCUUAUCAAAAGGUUCUAUCAUGCUGGAGUGUGCUGAGAUGAAGAGGAGAUCAUUCAUUUUACACAUAAAACAUAUUUUUUAUAAUUGUACCUUGACAUAGAGAAACUCACAGUGUAACUAAUCAAACAAAAAUAAAAGUUUCUGUAUCACAGUGAUGCCAUUAUCUGUAAUUAAGUAUAAUUAAGCAUGGUCUUUAUUGAGAUUUUUCUCUUUAUUCUUAUUACAGGAAACCAGUAUAUUGACAUGUUUUGGUUUUUUUUCAUUUUCCCCCCACUAGAAUCAGAUUCAUCAUCUAGCUCAGCUAGUAGUUUCUCCUCUUCCAGUUCCUUUUCCAGUUCCUCUUCCAGUUCCUGUCCAGGUCGUGUAAGCAAAGUGUGUGUGGAUGACUUUACUGGAGGGCAGAAAUUUGCAAUUUAUAGAAAGAAAGAUGGAAUCCCUGCAUCGUUUAAAAAGAAUGUUAAAAAUGCAAUGAAGAAAAAAACAAACUAUGAUCUUUUGACGUACAACUGUAUUCAUUUUGCCAUGGAGAUUUUGGAAGUAUGGGCAAAGUAGGGAGAUCCUUAAACAGUUUCAACUUUCAGCCAAAGCUCACUGGAAGACGUUGCUGUUGGACGAACAGACAAGCCAACGCUCUGAUGAUGGAAGAAGCAGAUUUCAUUCUUUUUUAUAUUUAGAUGGUUUUCCUCACAACACUUAUAACAUUGUUAAAUUUACUUCUAAAAUUGUUAAAUACUUCUAAAAUUAAUAAAAUUGUUCUUUACUUACUGUC
This is a long non-coding RNA of Pangasianodon hypophthalmus (striped catfish), 896 nucleotides long. RefSeq lists it as uncharacterized. NCBI's taxonomy places the organism in Eukaryota, Metazoa, Chordata, Actinopteri, Siluriformes, Pangasiidae. The transcript is spliced from 3 exons. The record is from RefSeq and is a predicted model, not a curated record.